Camelus dromedarius (Arabian camel) is the source of this 127-nucleotide small nucleolar RNA. The record is from Ensembl. Lineage: Eukaryota; Metazoa; Chordata; Mammalia; Artiodactyla; Camelidae.
GCUGAGGUCUAUCAAUGGGGCUUUUUCUGUAGACCCACAUCAUUGGAAUCACCUCACAGAGUAACUUUGGUUUCUUUUACUCACAGAAUUACAUGUUAGAUCUGUGGGAAAGAACUAUAAAACAGAA